GUGGGGAAUAUUGGACAAUGGGGGGAACCCUGAUCCAGCCAUGCCGCGUGUGUGAAGAAGGCCUUUUGGUUGUAAAGCACUUUAAGCGAGGAGGAGGCUACCGAGAUUAAUACUCUUGGAUAGUGGACGUUACUCGCAGAAUAAGCACCGGCUAACUCUGUGCCAGCAGCCGCGGUAAUACAGAGGGUGCAAGCGUUAAUCGGAUUUACUGGGAGUAAAGCGCGCGUAGGUGGCCAAUUAAGUCAAAUGUGAAAGCCCCGAGAGUAACUUGGGAAUUGCAUUAGAUACUGGUUGGCUAGAGUAUGGGAGAGGAUGGUAGAAUUCCAGGUGUAGCGGUGAAAUGCGUAGAGAUCUGGAGGAAUACCGAUGGCGAAGGCAGCCAUCUGGCCUAAUACUGACACUGAGGUGCGAAAGCAUGGGGAGCAAACAGGAUUAGAUACCCUGGUAGUCC
Molecule: ribosomal RNA, 451 nt
Filed under: uncultured bacterium
Lineage: Bacteria
Description: partial 16S ribosomal RNA
Rfam family: Bacterial small subunit ribosomal RNA
Source: RNAcentral